RNAcentral lists this ribosomal RNA (253 nucleotides) under uncultured bacterium. RNAcentral describes it as "partial 16S ribosomal RNA". It matches the Rfam family "Bacterial small subunit ribosomal RNA", at positions 524 to 776 of the family's 1533-position model. The record is from RNAcentral.
UACGUAGGGUGCAAGCGUUAAUCGGAAUUACUGGGCGUAAAGCGUGCGCAGGCGGUUGGGCAAGACAGGUGUGAAAUCCCCGGGCUUAACCUGGGAACUGCAUUUGUGACUGCACAGCUGGAGUGCGGAAGAGGGGGAUGGAAUUCCGCGUGUAGCAGUGAAAUGCGUAGAUAUGCGGAGGAACACCGAUGGCGAAGGCAAUCCCCUGGGCCUGCACUGACGCUCAUGCACGAAAGCGUGGGGAGCAAACAGG